Molecule: ribosomal RNA, 253 nt
Filed under: uncultured bacterium
Lineage: Bacteria
Description: partial 16S ribosomal RNA
Rfam family: Bacterial small subunit ribosomal RNA
Source: RNAcentral
UACAGAGGUCUCAAGCGUUGUUCGGAUUCAUUGGGCGUAAAGGGUGCGUAGGUGGCGCGCUAAGUCAGGUGUGAAAUUUCGGAGCUUAACUCCGAAACUGCAUUUGAUACUGGCGUGCUUGAGGACUGGAGAGGAGACUGGAAUUCAUGGUGUAGCAGUGAAAUGCGUAGAGAUCAUGAGGAAGACCAGUGGCGAAGGCGGGUCUCUGGACAGUUCCUGACACUGAGGCGCGAAGGCCAGGGGAGCAAACGGG